ACCCUUUUGUAGUUCCUAAGUGUGACGAUUGGGUGUCUGUGCCUCCUUCGAUCUUUGUUAUCAGCACAAUACUUGUGUGACA
This 82-nucleotide small nucleolar RNA is filed under the name Tupaia belangeri chinensis (Chinese tree shrew). Its description in RNAcentral is "Tupaia chinensis (Chinese tree shrew) Small nucleolar RNA U13". It matches the Rfam family "Small nucleolar RNA U13". The record is from Rfam by way of RNAcentral. Lineage: Eukaryota; Metazoa; Chordata; Mammalia; Scandentia; Tupaiidae.